UACAGAGGGGGCAAGCGUUGUUCGGAAUUACUGGGCGUAAAGCGCGUGUAGGCGGCCUUCUAAGUCUGGUGUGAAAGCCCGGGGCUCAACCCCGGAAGUGCAUUGGAUACUGGGAGGCUGGAGUACCGGAGAGGAGGGUGGAAUUCCUGGUGUAGCGGUGAAAUGCGUAGAUAUCAGGAGGAACACCGGUGGCGAAGGCGGCCCUCUGGACGGAUACUGACGCUGAGACGCGAAAGCGUGGGGAGCAAACAGG
This 253-nucleotide ribosomal RNA is filed under the name uncultured bacterium. RNAcentral's name for it is "partial 16S ribosomal RNA". It matches the Rfam family "Bacterial small subunit ribosomal RNA", at positions 524 to 776 of the family's 1533-position model. The record is from RNAcentral.